CUUACCUAGGAGUCAGCCCCAUUGAAUACAGUGGCACUUACUUCCAGGUAGUAUUUGUGGGCUGCCUUCCGUUUCCAAAUAUUUAAAGGCUGAAAUUAUUCCCAGCUGUCUCAUGCAAAUGUAAACAUGAUCUUCCCUCUUUCUUCUCUAGUCCUUCAGAUCUUUCCCCCUUCCAUGUAUAUUUUUGAUGAGGCCUUUCAACCUGUGACCUCUCCAGAGACUGUCAACACAUUUUGGUAGAUUUGAACUGCUAUGUCAACAGGCAUAGCUAUCUAAACCCGAUAGCGAGGUGGCUGCUUGCGAGAUCCGACCACAAUGUCUUCUUGUCACGGUGGGGUGUUCUAUAAAUUGGCGAGCAAUGGCUUUUGCAUUCUGACCCCAAAAACACGGUUUCUGGGGGCAGUUGACUGGAAGGUUUUCUCAUAUCGCCUUUCAGAGAUGUGCAGCAGGUUUUGUAUUCCAAAUAAGAGCAAGCAAACAGAGCGAAAGGGAGAUUCAGAUAUUAAUCCAUUCAGUAGACACAUGGCAUUGCUGCCCCUUACCUCAGAAUAUGGGACAAAAUGUAUAAUGGAUUUGCUUCUCAAAAUAGUCAAUAAAUACCAGAAUUGUCAAAUUACCUAAAACCACAAAUCAUUACAUAGCAAUUUAAACAAAGAAAAUAUGUUACAUCCCACAUAGGUCAAGCUUCACAAUAGCAUUGUAAGGCAAAUUGCUACAGCUCCAAUUUUAUUGAGGGCCAAUUCAAAUCUAGUCUAGGCAGUUCAUUUCUAAGCAAUGAGUGCUCUGUGGUUUGUUAAGGGUAGUCCAUUUGUUAAGCGUGCUGAGAAUUGAUAGUAGACCCCUAUUUCUCUCAAAUUUCAAUAGAAUUUUAUUUCCUAUUUCUUUUUCUUUUUUUCUUUUUCUUGUUUUGGUUUUGAGAAGUUUUAUUGUUUGAUUAAAAGAAUUUUAUUUCCUAUUUCAACACUUGGCUUAUAGCGUCUUCAGACAUAACAUUGAAAUGAACAGGAAAUGAACGUUCCUCACACAUCCUGUUUUCCCUUACUGACAUUAACUGAAAUAUCUCCCUCCCCAUCCUUUUUCUUCCAAACCAUAGUAGUAGGACUGGCCCCACCAUUAGGCAGAGUAAGGCAACUGCCUCAAGCGGCAGCUGUUGAGGGAGCAGCAGUCCCACCUCCAACCACUAUCUCCUUAGCCUCCAGACAAUGGUUGGACAUCAAAGCUAUGUGAACCACAGGACUGUUGUGCAUCCGCUAAACUAGCCCGCUGCCCCCAAAUUCCCUGAAAAAUGCUUUCCUCUUGCCCGUGUUGAAGGAAAAGACAACAACUAGUUCAUUCACGGAAUGGGCAGGACAUCAUGUUAUAUGCUAGGGUUGCCAUAUUUUGAAGAGCAAAAAAGAGGACGCUAUGAUGACUCUCAUUUUAAAUACCCUACUGGAUGUAGGCUAUAGGAGCUGUGGUAUAUUUCUGAGUAGGGCAGGAGAAAAGAAGAAGAAAUUAAGUAUUCAGCCACCAGUUAUGUCUAUGUCUCAUCCAGAAAGCAUAGCCAGAGACCGUUUGGCAAAUUUUAAAAAUCCACCUGGGCAGAAAUUUUACCCAUGAAAAAGAGGACGUGUCCUGGAAAAAGAGGACACAUGGCAACCCAAAAUUGUCUUGGGCUGGUCCUGUAGGUAGAUAUGGAAGCUGUCUCUACAUUGAGAAUUUAUCAAUUUCUUGGUGAUGAGAGGGUGCAAAUUGAGGUUGUUGAGGGUGUUGGGAAUUGUAGCUCAGGAACAACAGUUCCUGGGAUUCUUUGAAGGGAAGUGCUUUCGGUGUGCAUUAUUAUUAUUAUUAUUAAUAAUAAUAAUAAUAUUAAAACCUGGACCCGCAGGUUUUUCCUCAACCUACAUCUUAAAUGGUUCAUUUAAUGCAGACACAUUCAAGGGCUGGGUACCAAAGAGCAUUCUUCAAGUAUUAAUAAAUAUCAGUCUUAAUAUUUCAUGACAAAAAGCACCUCUUUAGCUAUGAUUAAAUAAACCCACUCCUUACCUAUUAGUUACUGACAUAAAGACCGUGAGCUACAGACUAUGCUGUUCCAACAGCCAAGGAUAUGUCCCAAUAGCUGUCAUGAGGUCAUCAAUCCACAGUAAUUACAUUCAUCUUUUUCAUUGAGAUAUUUUUCUGUCUGGUUUACAAAAUGAUGCCCCAGGUGGAGAGUUAAGGACUGAUUCCCGCCCCCCCUCUGGGAACGAGCCCUUCAAAAGCAGUUCUAUUAAAGAGACUAUGCACAACUUCAUAAUCCUAUGAGUGAUCGUUGCAGAAUGCGUCUUCAAGUUAAAUUACCAGCAUGGCAAGAAUUAUUUAUGUGAGUUUUAAAAAUACAUAACAAACGCAUUCUUAAAAAAAGAAGAAGUGGAAAUAUACCAGAAAUUUAAACUCAAUAACAGGACCUACUGAUUGAUUUGCAUGACCUUUAGCUUUUUUGCUGUUCUCUGACAGGAGAGAUGCUAGUUAAAUGUCAACUAUUAGCAGUUCGAAAGCAUGUCAAAGUGCAAGUAGAUAAAUAGGUACCGCUCCGGCGGGAAGGUAAACGGCGUUUCUGUGCACUGCUCCGGUUCGCCAGAAGCGGCUUAGUUAUGCUGGCCACAUAACCCAGGAAAACUGUCUGUGAACAAACAUUGGCUCCCUUGGCCAGUAAAGCGAGAUGAUCGCCGCAACCCCAAAGUCAUUCACAACUGGACUUAACUGUCAGGAGUCCUCUACCUUUUAUUAUUUCCUUUUAACUUCACUAUGGAUAUGUUUGUUAUUGGAUCAAGAGGGAACACUGAUCAUCACAUGGAUUUAACUGCUAAACUUAAGGAAGAUACUAGAAAGUCUCAACCACAUUUUCCAUGCGCACAAAACAUAUUUGGUGGGUUUCCCCUCUUGCCUACCUAAAUGUAGCAUUUUACAAAUAAAAUGUGAGUUUCAUUUAUGCUAUAUAGAUAUGGGAAGAAGAGAAAUAUUUAGCCUGGUAAGUCCAUGUUUGAUGGAGAAGCACAUAAACAGCUUUCGGAAAACCAAAGAAUUUAAAUUUCACCUUCUGAAAAUGUCAGGUAAUGCUAAACAAACAAACAAACAAACAAACAAACAAACAAACAACUGCAAGUACUGGGCAAUCAUUUUAAUUAUUUCUCUGCUAUUUUACACACAUUUUACCUACCAAGCAAAACUAAAUGAUAUUAAUUUAACCAAAAUAUAUUUUUAAUACCCAAGUGAUGUUACAACUUUUUAGCACCCCUCAGUUCUGGAAUUUUGAAAGUUGCCAAAUUCAACAUGCCCUAACUUUGGUGCCUAGGAGAAUGGUACUAAUCACAACUGUGGCAUAAAGGGAAAAGAUAACUCUCCUUCCUUUAUGCCAUCAUCAAAAUCCUGGCCACACACACCCCUGCGACUGUUAAGGAAAACCCAAUUGUAUCAAAUGCAUUCACAUAUUUAAAGUCUUGUUUGGCCCUAAAUCAAGGAGGACAGAAGAAAGUGUCAGAGAUGGGGGAGGGAAUCCAUGGUAUCAGUCCUUGCUGUGCCUCAGGGAAUGACAUUAGUCAGGAUUGUGGGGUACAGGGUGGUAGAAUUAAGGAAUUAAUUGAGAUUCACCAUCCCUUUUCCAUUUAUCAAGCUUAAUGGGUAUUUUGCUAGUAAAAAAAUAACAAUGCCUUGCUUGCUUCUGCUCAAAUCAUUGGGGCAUUAAUAUGUUGGAUAUGACUGUUUCAUACCCUAUUUUUCAGUAGGGUCUAUUUGUCUGUUUUUCCCAUCUGCCCCGUGAUGUUUUUGUGUCGCAGCUGCUCUUCUUGUCCUUGGUUUGAUGCAAUGAGAGAAUAUUUUAAGGCUGCCCACUGUGGAAUCUGGAGAAGCGGAGCGAUGACACAGCAGCAAACAAUUUAAUUAAAAAUCAUCUUGAAAUAGCCAACCGCCAAAUUUAAGAAGAAAGAAGAAAUGAUGGGUAAGAAGAGCCACAGAUCUAUUUUUGGAUACGAAUCAUUUCAAAAUGUAUUGACUCACGAUGUUCUGAAGACUUCUUCUGGCUAUAUGAUAUUGUGGUUUUCUGAAGUGAAGCACUGCUUUCAUCCUUCAUUGUACAAUACGUUGAAACUUAACUUUACAAGGGCAG
Podarcis lilfordi (Lilford's wall lizard) is the source of this 4123-nucleotide non-coding RNA. NCBI's taxonomy places the organism in Eukaryota, Metazoa, Chordata, Lepidosauria, Squamata, Lacertidae. The record is from the annotation of a GenBank genome assembly.